This 253-nucleotide ribosomal RNA is filed under the name uncultured bacterium. RNAcentral describes it as "partial 16S ribosomal RNA". It matches the Rfam family "Bacterial small subunit ribosomal RNA", at positions 524 to 776 of the family's 1533-position model. The record is from RNAcentral.
UACAGAGGGUGCGAGCGUUGUCCGGAAUCACUGGGCGUAAAGGGCGCGUAGGCGGCUUUGCAAGUUAGAGGUGAAAGCCCGGGGCUCAACUCCGGAAUUGCCUUUAAAACUGCAUCGCUAGAAUUGUGGAGAGGUAAGUGGAAUUCCGAGUGUAGAGGUGAAAUUCGUAGAUAUUCGGAAGAACACCAGUGGCGAAGGCGGUUCUCUGGGCCUGUACUGACGCUGAGGAGCGAAAGCGUGGGGAGCGAACAGG